RNAcentral lists this ribosomal RNA (301 nucleotides) under uncultured bacterium. RNAcentral's name for it is "partial 16S ribosomal RNA". It matches the Rfam family "Bacterial small subunit ribosomal RNA", at positions 509 to 807 of the family's 1533-position model. The record is from RNAcentral.
CAGCCGCCGCGGGAAUACGUAGGGUGCGAGCGUUAAUCGGAAUUACUGGGCGUAAAGCGUGCGCAGGCGGUUGUGUAAGACAGGUGUGAAAUCCCCGGGCUUAACCUGGGAACUGCGCUUGUGACUGCACAGCUAGAGUAUGGCAGAGGGGGGUGGAAUUCCACGUAUAGCAGUGAAAUGCGUAGAGAUGUGGAGGAACACCGAUGGCGAAGGCAGCCCCCUGGGCCAAUACUGACGCUCAUGCACGAAAGCGUGGGGAGCAAACAGGAUUAGAUACCCGAGUAGUCCCUGUCUCUUAUAC